RNAcentral lists this ribosomal RNA (253 nucleotides) under uncultured bacterium. Its description in RNAcentral is "partial 16S ribosomal RNA". It matches the Rfam family "Bacterial small subunit ribosomal RNA", at positions 524 to 776 of the family's 1533-position model. The record is from RNAcentral.
UACGUAGGAUGCAAGCGUUGUCCGGAUUUAUUGGGCGUAAAGAGCGCGUAGGUGGUGUGUUAAGUUAGGCGUGAAAUUUCCCGGCUUAACUGGGAAGGGUCGUCUAAAACUGGCACGCUUGAGGGCAGCAGGGGAAAGUGGAAUUCCGGGUGUAGUGGUGAAAUGCGUAGAUAUCCGGAGGAACACCAGUAGCGAAGGCGGCUUUCUGGGCUGCUCCUGACGCUGAGGCGCGAAGGCUAGGGUAGCGAACGGG